RNAcentral lists this unclassified non-coding RNA (246 nucleotides) under Hevea brasiliensis (rubber tree). Lineage: Eukaryota; Viridiplantae; Streptophyta; Magnoliopsida; Malpighiales; Euphorbiaceae. The record is from RNAcentral.
CACAUCAUAUUUCUAUGGUAGUGGUUGUAUAAUUCCCUAACCUUCUCCUGAAGCAAAUAAAGAAAGAAAGAUGAUUGAUAGAGUGCAACUAGAACAAGGGAAAAGGAAUUAGAAGUUAACUUUGGAAUUUUGUGUUGUGCUAUCUUGAUUACCUUAGCAACUGAUGUCUCUCAAACUGCAUAUACUGAACAUAAUUGCGUAAAGUUGAUAGUUAAUGUUAGGGCAUUAAAAAAAGUGUGCUGAGUG